RNAcentral lists this unclassified non-coding RNA (240 nucleotides) under soil metagenome. RNAcentral's name for it is "partial contains 5.8S ribosomal RNA, internal transcribed spacer 2, and large subunit ribosomal RNA". The record is from RNAcentral.
AAGACUAUAGACCUGCGGAGUACCUGCGGAGGGAUCAUUACUGAGUUAGGGUCUUAUUUGGCCCAACCUCCAAACCUUUGAGUACCUUGCAAAGCAUUGAUUUUUCCUUGUUGCUUCGGUGGGUUGAAAACACCCACCGAACCACAGGAACAACAAACUCUUUUGAAAGGUGCAGUCUGAAGUUUAGAUACUAAAUAAAUUAAAACUUUCAGCAACGGAUCUCUAGAUCGGAAGAGCACA